This is a long non-coding RNA of Tympanuchus pallidicinctus (lesser prairie-chicken), 6603 nucleotides long. RefSeq lists it as uncharacterized. The record is from RefSeq and is a predicted model, not a curated record. The transcript is spliced from 2 exons. Lineage: Eukaryota; Metazoa; Chordata; Aves; Galliformes; Phasianidae.
GAUAAGCCAGCACAGUAUGUCAGUACCUUCAGUGUGUCGCACAGACUUGCUAAUAGGGGACAAAACAAAAGCCACGGAAACAAAAGCAGCUCAACAUCUUGUUCUGAUGAAAUGAGAACUCUCCCUCCAGUGUCUUUUAAUGGACCAUGGGAGACUCAGGAUUCACCAGUGUCUCAGGAAGCUGCAGCAGGCAAUGGCAGAUGGCAGCUGGAACACAAGGUGAUCUGACGGAACAGCAGUGCCCUGGAAACAUCUUACUGCACAAAAAUCAAAAGGAAAUUGGAGAUUGGCUUUGUUAAGGACAUCUCUUGUUCUGUGGCGCUGUUACACAAUCGUUGCACGGAAGUGUCUACAGGUGGUAAUGAGGAGGAAUCAAAGCUUCAGAGGAAGCUGCAGGAACAGCUGGACCUCCUAAGAGCUGCAAAAGAAGAUUCCCCAGCUAAAACAUGUCCACGGAGAGCCAUAUGUGCAUAGCUGUUAGGAUUUUGGAAUCGGUGUGGUGGAAUGACAGGGAGUUGAUGGGUAAAUAUUAAUUGAGAGAGCAACCCCUGCCAAGAAAUUGUUUGUGAUCGUGUUGCCUUAUCUUCAUGCAAAAUAUUUACCAAGUCAAAUACUGCCAUUUAACUUACCAUAACUUUGUAGUCAUUGCACAAUGACUUGAAGAGAAGGCCCAGCAGCCUGGCAGCCUACUGGUGUGCUCUUGUGCUGUUCCAGGGGCAGUGAGACUGUCAGCAUGGCACCAUGUGCUGGGAAGCUGCUUUCCAUUCUACGUGCAGCGUCACAGGGCUGUGCUGAGCCACGUGCCAAGCUGACACUUUGUCCUGGCCAGCUUUGGGCCAGGGGAUGGAAGGGUAAGCUGAGCUGUUGGGUCUCUGUCAUCUGUCUGAAGGGCUUGCAGAGAUCUAGUGAAUGGAGCACAGUGUUUGGGUUUUCUUUCCAGAGCUGGCAACGUACAGGUGUAAGGUUGGUAGCAUGGAGAAGACCAUACAAAGAAUAUAAAAAAGAGGGGAAGUUCAUUUUUACAAUAUUUCUGCACCUCCCAAAACAUUUUGGGUUUUUGUUUUUUUUUUUUUUAGUGUUUCAUUUGCUCGGAGUCUGACCUGGGAUAUCACAGGGAUGCUUCUCUCACUUCUGAUUCAGUAGAUUUGUAUUUCAGGGACUCAUUUGCAUUGACAGGCAGAAAAUACUUCUGUUUAAUUAGAAUAAAUUGUUUUAUAGUUGAAGAUGAAGGCGACCCUGUAAGAGCGCCACUCACAUCUUUAGUUGAUGCCUCAUGCCUACAGUUGAUGUGGGAACCCUACUCCCAUGCCAAAGGCACAGGCCAUGUGUGCACUGAGUAAUCACAAAUUUACACAUCGGCAUUACUCAACCUCCAGGCAACGUGCGGUCAGUUUUCAUUUGCACUCUUAAAAUUGUUUCCAUUUAACACCCUUAAGCAGCUCUGCGCAUUGCAGUGAAAUAUAAAAUGACCCUCACGUUUGCUCUCCUGCUUAUUCAACACGACCGUUCCCCGCUCGGCGUGGCAGCGUGCUUUUCAUGUGGCUGCCCAUAUGCCCUGCACAUGACUGUGAUCUGGCUCCCAAAAGAGUAUGUUGUGAUCUGCUCGCGUGUGCCAAUUCACAUAUCUAAACGUUUUCAUAAGGGGAACCCCUUUGUGUUAGUCAUCUGGUUGUCAAACAAGACCUGGCUGUGAUCCUGGACCUGGCACUAGAUGAAAUAUGUGCACUUUAAACAUUUCAUACUGAAACUGAUGGGAAUGGGCAAUUCCUCAGUACAUUUUCUCAAGGUUUUUAAACAAUAAAUGUCAACCUAAGGGCAAAGCAAGACAGAUUUCAGAUUAAAGAGACGGGCUUUGCUUAACAUCUAUAAAUCCCUUGGUCCCAACCUCCUUCAUGGUUUUUGAAACAAGGAACAAGGAAAGGCUGUGUCAAGCGCAAUGGACACUUUUGUCAACACAACUUCUGCCUUUGGUAGCAUGAUAGAAAGAUUUCAAAAAUAGAUUUUUCUGAUGGAUUCAUGACUUGGCAUCCCGUAGAGAAUCUAGUAUUCUUCCAAGCAAAGCUAAAGGUUUGUGUUAGAAGGCUAGCAAAGCCAGUCAAAAGAGCCUUUCAUCCUCGAGAUUACUAAAAUAUUCCUUUGUUUAUUUUUCUCCUUCAAUUACUUUUCCUGUCUUGGUUUAAUCUGUAGUGCUGAAGCUUGUCAGCACCUAUAGCCUUUUGUUUAGGAUAGAUGCCUUGGGAGCAUGAAUAAAAACAAUUUUCAUGUAGUGUCUCCUUGUCACAGCUGCUGCCUGAAGCCCAUCGACUUCUCUUUCCAAAGACCCGAUUAUGCACACACAAACAGAACAGAGCCUGGAGCCAGCAGUUUGAUGUUGCUCAACGCCAGCGAUGAGCCCUCGCUAACCUGGUGCUCCAUCAUUUGCAAUAGAAGCAGCAAAUUUGUUUUCUCUCCCACUUUUCAAAGGAAAGGUUCACAAAAAAAAUAUAAGUGCCAGAAUGCUUGUCUUGACUGUGACUUUAAGUUUUAAAAUAUUUUAAUAUGUAAAUUCUAGAAUUUGCAGCUGCAGGGAGAAGCUCUGAGUAGGAAAAUGAAACUUGUAUUUGGAAAAUUAAUUCUCAAACAAAAAUUCCCUGUAUAUGUUUUCUUUUUCUAGGAAAGUGAUUUCUUGAAACUUCAGCAUAUGCUUUCCAUUUGUGUGAGCUGGCACUGCCACGAGCCAGAGGAGGCUUGCAGCAAGCGGGGCUGUGCAGGACUGGCACCUGCUAGGCUGUGCUUGGUUGCUUGGGUGACUUCUGGACCUUCUGGUACUGUGAGUGAGCCACACUUGAUGGAAAGGUGAUGAGCAUUUUUUCUUGAUCCCAUGCCAUUGUGGAGUGGUUGGAGCUUGCUGUCAUGGACAGUCUUGUCUUGCAGAGAGCAGCGCAUCCCUGCAGAAGGAGAAAUGCUGUAGUCGUUCUAGUUACAAGAGAAGCUUCAAGGAAAGUUUGUAUUUAAUUAUUGUUAGAAGUGUGCAGCAAAACGGAUUUGUUUUUAGCUCUUACAAAGCCAUAUGCCUAUGUCUCUGGAUCCCAAAGCCACAUAACAAAUGAAACAAGCAAAAGCAAGACCAAAUAGCAGUGAUUAAAUGUCUCUAUUCCAGAAUCGGGUGCGUACUGUGGUCAAGACCGGCGGUAGCAGAGUAGCCAGGGUGCAUUGCUGAAGCAGGAGAGCAGAGAGGAGCAAUGGGCUGUGUUUGUGGGGAAUGAGGAGCGUGGGUCUGUGUGCACCCUGGGAGGGGGCUCCUGACCAAGAACACAGUCCUGGAACCUGCUGUGCAGUUGUUUGCAGCUGGAAAAAUGCAAUGGAGAGGUGAUUCUUCAUGUAAUUCUUAGGUGAGCCCUUUGAAUCAGUUGGAGCUGUUUUCGCUAACUCAUUCAAAACUAACAUUUUAUUCUGUCCCAGUGAGCUGGAGCAGCCUGGCUUGCUUCUCAUAGGGUGUCUGUCCAGCUCCUCUAAGACAGCGGAAGGAACCAGAGGUUGUGAUCAUGGUUCAGUGACAGAGUGAAGGGAUGAAGGUCAUUCCUCUCACGGGGACAAAAUCUCCUCCUACUCUCUGGCACCACUUCUCUGCUCAGUGUUGUUCCUGCUAAUCGGGAUGCUUUGAAACAGAGAGAGAGGAUAGUGGGAGGUGCUAGAAGGAAGGCUGAAUUAAAGGCAGAAGAGAGCACAGUGGGGAUACAGACAGAAAAACAGGCUGCAUGCUGAGCACGUUUAAAGGGGCACAGCUGGAACAAUGUUGGAGCUUUGCAUGUAUGUUUGCCUGUUCCCAUGUUAUUUUUCCCCAGUAUUGCAUACAGCAUGGUUCCCCCACAAGGUUAAAGAUCACAAUAAUGUUUUAUGUAGGUAGCAGAAUACCCUGUGUAGAGGAAGUGGUACAUGAUUUUACUUAGAGAACAGAGAUUUCAUGGUUUUUAACACAUGCAAGGAAAUUUGUCCACUGGCAUCUGCUGUGAAGAUGAUAUCCCUUUGCUACAGGUCAAGAAGCAAAAGCAUCUGCAGCUGUGAGGAUGGUGCUUGCAGAAAACACUUGUGCAGGUAUCUUCAUUCUGAUUUGGUUCCCAUCUAGGAAGAGGCAUGUCCUCAGGAUGGCUGCUGAGUGCCAUCGGCACUGGGAGAGAAAAGAGCAGAUGUAUGGCUUUAAACCAAGAUAUGAAAAAGCAGGAAUCUGAAGUUAGCUUUAAAGUUAUUUGGGCUGGAGUAUUGGUGGGAAGUGUCAGUGGGCUGCAGCUCAGAAUCUGCACUAACUGCUUAGCUGCCUGGCUUUUUCUUCAGCAGUGUCACUUGAGAGUCUUCAUGUGCAAGCAGAGGACACUGAUCUGCCCUGUCUUCCAUGCAUGCACAUUCAUUCAGUGCAGUUACCUUUGGAAUUGAGCACAGACGUAUCAGGUAAAUGCAGGUGGAUGCAGCCAACAGUAAAGUUGUUUUUCUUCUGUUGUGCUGAUGCACGGAUAGCAACCCCAUCCCAAUCUUACUGUUGGGUCAUCAGUCAAGACUUGAGGACUGCCAAAAGUAUGGCUCAUCCCUGAGCUGUUUGCAGUUCAGCAUUUUACGUAUUCUGGGCCUGUCCAAGCUGAGCCAAACUGAUUUUUGCAUCCAACAAAGAAAUGAUAGGAUGAGAGGGAAUGGCCUCAAGUUGUGCCAGAGGAGAUUCAGGCUGGAUAUUAGGAAGAAUUUAUUUUCAGAAAGAGUGAUGAGGCAUUGGAACAGGCUGCCCAGGAGGUGGUGGAGUCAUCAUCCCUGGUGGUGGUUAAAGAAAAGGUGGAUGUAGCACUUAGGGACAUUGUUUAGUGGGCAGUAUUGGUAGUUGAUGGAUGGUUGGACUAGAUGAUCUUAGAGGUCUUUUCCAACCUUAAUGAACCUGUGAUUCUGUGAAUAUAUGUGGAGUAUGUGACUGGCAGAAAGGAUAGAUGUUGGGAUGAGAGGCCUGGGUGCAGGUCUGAUAGCAAAUGACUCCUGCAAAUUGGGCAGAGUAGGUUUCUGCUCUCUCCAUACUUAAUUUCCCAGCGCUGUUUGGAGCUAGCUGGGAGCAGGAGAUAGUGAGAUGUCAGCAAGAACAACCUCUCCAGGUGCUGUGAUGAGUGUGGAGUAUACAGGUAUUUCACAGAAAGUGGUGACAGCAUGAUCUGCAUUACCUGGUAAGGUGAUACAUCUGUGCAUACCUGUGUGAUUUUAUAUGUGUGUAUCAGUGGCCUAUUGUUAUGAUGUGCUUAUGUGGCACUUCAUUUGUGGAGUGUACCUUGUGUUGGUGGUGUUCUCAAGCAGGGGGAGACAUCUGUCAGGCAAACACUAGUAAACAUCGUGCAGCUGUAUUUUGUUAGGGUUUCAUUUUGCAUUUUCCUCUCUUCUCCACCUCAGCACUCCUUCAGAUCACACUGGCGUCAACUGUGGUUAUGGCAAAAGAAGAUAACUGCUGUUAACCCUGUAAGAUGCUAGCAUAAGAUGAAAGCAUUUUCUUAAUGCACUCAAUCUAUGACCAGUUGUUUUUAAAGCUGUUUGAGAACAGCACAGAGAAGACAUUUUGCAUUUGGUCAGUCAGAAGUUGGUAACUGUUUUAGAAGCCUGCUGGAAGGAAGACAUCAAGAAAAGCUUUUGCAAAGCUGUGCUUUCACCUCACAGUGCUUUGCAGAGAUACAUUCUUGGGUUUGGUUCAUAUGGGUUCAUUUCUCUGACUUUCACUUUGAAUUUUGGAAUCAAAGGCAUUUUAAAAUUCUAGGUCAAACUUAUUAGAUAACACUGUAUCUCACCUGGUUUCAGCUCUUUAAGCAGUCAGAAGCAGUGCCUCCCCUGCUGUGGUCCUGAUACAAAUCUGUGAGUCAUCACGUCAGCGCGUUUGAAGCUCGGCCUAGCACUUCUGUCCAGAGUACGGCAUUGCUCACAAAGUUCAUGGCUUCUCCUUUGAACAGGGUGUUGCAGUGAAACAGGCAGCAGGUCAGAUUUCUGAGUAGAUGGCAAAGACAGCACCCAGCUUUCAUUUUGGGGAUUUUGCUAACAUAAAGCCGCCUAGCCAGGAGGCAGUUUGGGCUGUGUUGAGUUUGUGGCCACAGAUCCCUGAUCUUGUUCCUUUGAGCCAGAGCUGGUGUCCUUUUGGGAGCAUCAGACGCGUUUGCUUCUGUCCUGGAUGCCAACAUUCAGCCGUCAUGGCCGUGGCUGAGGUCUCCAUUCUUGCCAUAUAGGCUGGAGUCUGCAGCAGCGGGGCUUAGAACUUGAUGCAAGUGUGAAGGGAGAGUUCUGAGCACUGACCGCUCACGACUGUCUGAUAUGUCAGAGCUCUGAGACCAGGCCAGAGGGAGGGUGAAUACAGUACUGGGGAGAAGCCCCUUCCCCUCCUCCUGGUGGGGGGCAGUGGGGCUGGCCCUGGCCCUGUGCAGCACAGCUGCCCCUGGGGUUUCCGGGAAUUCCCGCCUGUAUGUGGUUUCUUAACCAGUCCUGCAAAAAUGUAUUUUUUAUUGAAUGUUAUUCUAGCCAUAAAACUUUUAAGCUGUUCAAAUACUUUCCUUUGUACAGUAGACAUCUGAGACUAUUAGGCAUUAACAAGUAAAUGUAUUUUUUUUUCAACUGCUUCAA